GACGAACGCUGGCGGCGUGCCUAAUACAUGCAAGUCGAGCGAACCCGGGGUGCUUGCACCCUGAGGGUUAGCGGCGGACGGGUGAGUAACACGUGGGGAACCUGCCUUGCUGUCUGGGAUAACACCGGGAAACCGGUGCUAAUACCGGAUGUCCCCUUCCCGGCACCUGCCGGAGAGGGAAAAGGCGGCUUUGAGCCGCCGCAGCAAGAGGGGCCCGCGGCGCAUUAGUUAGUGGGCAGGGUAACGGCCUCCCAAGGCGACGAUGCGUAGCCGACCUGAGAGGGUGGUGGGCCACACUGGGACUGAGACACGGCCCAGACUCCUACGGGAGGAAGCAGUAGGGAAUCAUCCGCAAUAGGCGAAAGUCUGACGGUGCAACGCCGCGUGAGUGAUGAAGGUUUUCGGAUCGUAAAGCUCUGUUGUGAGGGAAGAAUAGGAUGGGGAGGAAAUGCCCGAUCUGUGACGGUACCUCACCAGAAAGCCCCGGCUAACUACGUGCCAGCCGCCGCCGUAA
This 514-nucleotide ribosomal RNA is filed under the name uncultured bacterium. RNAcentral's name for it is "partial 16S ribosomal RNA". It matches the Rfam family "Bacterial small subunit ribosomal RNA", at positions 28 to 523 of the family's 1533-position model. The record is from RNAcentral.